AGAGAGAGAGAGAGAGAGAGAGUUCACUAUAACACUGAGCUGCACCACCCAGGUAAACUAGUACACUAUAACACCAUGCUGCACCACCCAGAUACACUAGUACACCAUGCUGCACCACCCAGAUACACUAGUACACUAUAACACCAUGCUGCACCACCCAGGUAAACUAGUACACUAUAACACCAUGCUGCACCACCCAGGUAAACUAGUACACUAUAACACCAUGCUGCACCACCCAGGUAAACUAGUACACUAUAACACCAUGCUGCACCACCCAGGUAAACUAGUACACUAUAACACCAUGCUGCACCACCCAGGUAAACUAGUACACUAUAACACCAUGCUGCACCACCCAGGUAAACUAGUACACUAUAACACCAUGCUGCACCACCCAGGUAAACUAGUACACUAUAACACCAUGCUGCACCACCCAGGUAAACUAGUACACUAUAACACCAUGCUGCACCACCCAGGUAAACUAGUACACUAUAACACCAUGCUGCACCACCCAGGUAAACUAGUACACUAUAACACCAUGCUGCACCACCCAGGUAAACUAGUACACUAUAGCACCAUGC
Oncorhynchus keta (chum salmon) is the source of this 578-nucleotide long non-coding RNA. RefSeq lists it as uncharacterized. The transcript is spliced from 3 exons. Lineage: Eukaryota; Metazoa; Chordata; Actinopteri; Salmoniformes; Salmonidae. The record is from RefSeq and is a predicted model, not a curated record.